Molecule: long non-coding RNA, 870 nt
Filed under: Homo sapiens (human)
Lineage: Eukaryota; Metazoa; Chordata; Mammalia; Primates; Hominidae
Description: non-protein coding LINC01480:16
Source: RNAcentral
AAAAAUGCUACAAGAUAGCAUCCAAAAAGCUUUUCUAGACAUUGGCUUAGGCCAAGUAGUCAUGACUAAUGCCCCAAAAGCAAACGCAAAAAUAUAAAAAUAGAAUAAGAUCAAUAGGACCUAAUGAAACCGAAAAUCUUCUGCAAGGCAGAAGAAAUAUCAGCAGGGUAAACACACAACCCACAGUAUAGGAAACAGUAGUCACAAACUAGGCAUCUGACAAAGGACUAAUGUCCAGACUCCAAAGGAACUGAAAGAAAUCAGCAAGAAGAAAAGGUGCCAUUUACCACCUUCCUGACUCAUUGGCCAGAACCAAUGUUAGUGGAAUUAACAUAUGCCCCACCCCAAGUGACUUCUAAAGGGCUAACUCACCACAAGGGAGUCAGAGCAGAUCUUGGACUGAGACCUACAGGACACAGGUACUGCUUUUUCUCUUUUAUUUGUUUUAAAUUUUAUUUAUGUUUUUAGAUCAAAUAGUUCAGAUUGCAUUGGUUUUUAAUCUGCUGUUGUUGGAUUAACAUAUGCUUUAAGCGACUCUUAAAUAGGUGGCUCACCAGGAGAAAGGCAUAGCAGAACCUGGACUGAGACCUACGGGAGACAGCAGGCAGACACACAGGAGGUUGGACGUCGAGAGGAGCACAUCAGUGCAAGAACACAUGGGUGGCUGCCACUUCUCUCCCUUUCCUGAGAGGGAAAAACUCUCGACGCUGAGAGGAAUCCACCAACAGGCACCAGCACUCUGGCAGGCCACCGACCAAUGGAUUGACAUAGAGUUUGGCUGGGGCAGCCAGAGGAGAGCCUGGGCCGCUGAAUAACCCGACUUCAGGGGAAAACUAUUCUCCCUUUUGGCUCCCCCAUCUGCUGAGAGCU